RNAcentral lists this ribosomal RNA (500 nucleotides) under uncultured bacterium. RNAcentral's name for it is "bacterial SSU rRNA". It matches the Rfam family "Bacterial small subunit ribosomal RNA", at positions 32 to 507 of the family's 1533-position model. The record is from RNAcentral.
AAACGCUGGCGGCGUGCCUAACACAUGCAAGUCGUACGAGAAAGUCGGCUUCGGCCGAUGAGUACAGUGGCGCACGGGUGAGUAGCGCGUGGGUAAUCUGCUCCCCGGUCAGGAAUAACCCGCCGAAAGGCGGGCUAAUACCCGAUAACACUGACGCUCCGCGGAGCGUCUUUCAAAGAAGGCCUCUGUUUACAAGCUUUCGCCGGAGGAUGAGCCCGCGUACCAUUAGCUAGUUGGCAGGGUAAUGGCCUACCAAGGCUACGAUGGUUAGCUGGUCUGAGAGGAUGGCCAGCCACACUGGAACUGAGACACGGUCCAGACUCCUACGGGAGGCAGCAGUGAGGAAUCUUGCGCAAUGGGGGAAACCCUGACGCAGCAACGCCGCGUGAGUGAGGAAGGCCUUCGGGUCGUAAAGCUCUGUCAGAUGGGAAGAAAUGGAUGGGGGCUAAUAUCGCCCAUCCUUGACGGUACCAUCAGAGGAAGCACCGGCUAACUCCGUG